GCGUUGUUGUGAAUGGAGCGGGGCGGGGAGGAUGAUGUCAGCCUGGCGAAUGUCAACAAUGUAGCGAUUGAGGGGCGGGGGCGGCGCCGGGCCGGGGCGCGCGCGGCGGCGGGGCGCGGGCAGCGGCAGAGCGGGGCAGCAGCGGCCGCGGAGCAGCAGCAGCACCACCGCCGCCUCCUCCUCCUCCGCCGCCGUUUCCGCCCGCGCCGGGCCGGGCCGCGCGGCCCCGGGCUGCCCCCGCCGCCGGCCCCGGUGCCGCUCCGGCAGCGCCGCUCCCCCUUCCCUCCUCCUCCUCCUCUCUCUCUCCGCUGCGGCUUUCUCUCCUCCUCCGGCCCCCGCCAGCCCCCUCCUCCCCUCCUCCUCCCUUCCCCCUUUAUUUUUCCCCUCACGGCUCCGGCUCAGGGAGCAGCUGCUUCAAAGCGAGCGCCAUGUGAUGAGCCUCUGGGUCGCGGCUUUUUUUUUUUUUUUUUUUUUUUUUUUUUUUUUUUUUUUAAAUAUAUAAACACCCUCGUAUUUAGCGGGGAGGGCCGCGUGUAGGUCGGUGGUGAGCCGCGGAGAGCGGUUAACAACAAUUUCCAACACAAUAACAACAACAACAACAGGCGGCAGCGCUCCUUCCCCAACCCCCCCCCCCCCCGUCCGCAGCGCAGCGACAGCGGCGACCCCCAAAGUUGCGCGGAGGCGCGGCGAGAGCGAUGAGGCAAGAGAGAAGUUUUUAAAAACAGAAAAAUGUGAUUGCAGAAACAUCAUUGUUGGCAGGAGGACUCGGUGGAUUCAGGUAAUAACGUGACACUGCUCUUUUAUUAUGCUUUAAAAGCUGGCUAGAUUUCAGGUUGACAGUGGCCCUUUGUCAGGAGCUGAGUGGUAGAAGGAGGUGACAAGGUAUAACAAGAGCCGGUGGCUGGCUGCUAAAUUAAUUCAGACCCAGCAAGAGGAUGUAAGUGUUCUGGCAGCAAGGGUGGUUUCUGAAUGGGACACUGUUGCUGGGGCCGGGACAUCUUUCGUUAUCUCAGGCUGUUAAAACCGAAGUUGUUCUUUUUUUUUUUUCCUGUGUUGUUGUCGUUUUUACACUAAGAGUCAGGCUCUAUUUCAGCCUCUUAGAACUUCAUUAAUGUAGGAAGAAAGCUCCAGGCCUGCAAAAGAAGGUCAAAUGAUUAGCUGUCCCUUCAGACUAUGAAAUGCUGAAUCUGUGACUAUUUCCCUUGAAUUCCCCAUUUUAAAAGAUUUCUGACUCAGAACAGAUUGUUAUCUGCUACAAUACCCGUACCUGUAUCUUUACUGUAGCAGACUAACAUUGGGUGUUUUGUAUGAAUGAAGACAAUUUCUUCUUGCAGAUUGGUAGCAAUUGUAAUGUGCAGUGUUUAAAUAUACUACCAAUAUGUUGGCAAAGUUACCUUAAAAUAUCAUCUUUAAUAUAUUCAGGCCCUACUUGUUAAGAAAUGUGAGUCGUUAGCUAAAAUGCAUCUCUUAUGUUUUUAAUCAUUCUAAUUAUUUUCCUAACUGAGAGGCAGAGAUGGCUGGAGGGGGGACAUUUGGAGUGCUAAUUGCAGUGCAGUUCAUAAGUGGAGCCAGGUCCUGCCUUCACAUUUCUUAGGCAGUCCUGGUGAAGCCAUCAGGCUUUUCUGGAACAUAAGGGUUUUCCCCAUGUCUAUUUGAUUUCAGGAUAAUGGCUUACAGUGGCUCUUUCACACACUGAUUUCUCACACGUAUGAGGAAGUAGAAAAGCAUGUAUCCUUGUCAGUGUAGACUUCUGGUUUUCGGCACAAAUUUUUUAGAGGAGCAGAUCAGCAGAGCUGGCUGCCUUAGACUGAGCUGUUUUUAACUGGAGAUUCCUUUGCAUUUUCUUUGUUAGAUGCCAGGCGGAAAAAAAAAUGCAGUUGCAGCUUUGCAUUUCUGUAUUCAUGCCCAAGAAGGACAUUUAAAUAGUGUGUGAAUGGGCGUGGAUUUAGUAUUUCCUCGAGCCAGCUUCUUUUUAAUGUUAAAUUGCAUACUCUGGAAAGAUAGUUGCUGUAUCAACAUCAGCGUAAUGACACUUUAUUAAAAAAUCAAUAUCCAGCCAUAGGAAUGUGUCUUGGUGUAAACAGUUGUGUGCUCACGGCUGUGAUGUGUAUAUGUUUGCAAAUGUAAUGGACUUGGUAACUUGGAUAAACACUGUAUGUGUGACUCAUUGUGGAGUAUGAACUUACUUUAAAACAGCAAGUGUGGGAUUUAUUGAAUAUCGUGUUGCUUGCAUCCCUGCAUACUCACAUUAGGUCAUGAUUAAUCUCAAAUUGGCCAACAACCUGGGAGGAGAAUUACUGCUGAUCUCCCAUAGGUGACUCCAGAAAUAAACAUAAGGAUGGAAGUGUUUUAAAAAGCAUAAAUAGUAGUUAGAAUUCAUAGAAUCAUAAAGUAAACAUACGGUACAAGGUCCUCUAAAUGUAACACUUGAAAGCUUUUUUUAAUAGUUUCAGAAAAGGUUUGUUUAGCUAUCACAGGGAAAGUAAAUAUUUUCAUUCCUUUCUCUUCAGUUCUUUCUCAUUCCAUUUCUCUUUCCUCUUUACCUUUUUUAGUUUUGGUGGGCCGGGGCACCAAAACCAGGCAUGCCUAGAAAGCUCAGUUUGGGGUAGUUUGCUAGUUAUCCUUCUCUUGGUGGAGCCUCAAGGUGUUUGUGCAGUGUCAGGAUGGAGCUGUUGCCAACGGACACCCUGGGUGCUGCAGCAGCCCCAGAGUCUGUCAGUACAAUGUCCAUUUUGUAGUGCAACACAUCAAGGCUUGAUGCUGGGCGAUGCGAUCCCAGCAUGUACUGAAGGUGCACAGGGGGCUGCACACUGUGGCAUCCCCAAUCUUUGGACACAUUUUGUGGGUGGCAUUUCAAGCGCCAGAAGCAGGGUGAUGUG
This 2879-nucleotide long non-coding RNA is filed under the name Gallus gallus (chicken). Lineage: Eukaryota; Metazoa; Chordata; Aves; Galliformes; Phasianidae. The record is from RNAcentral.